Molecule: unclassified non-coding RNA, 451 nt
Filed under: Hevea brasiliensis (rubber tree)
Lineage: Eukaryota; Viridiplantae; Streptophyta; Magnoliopsida; Malpighiales; Euphorbiaceae
Source: RNAcentral
GUAGAUCCCUCUUCUUUCUUCACAGCAAAUGGAUUAGAGCAUUGAUCUCCUGUUCUCAUUUUCUCUGCGAUAACAAAUCAAUGGGAAAUCACAUACAGAAUUUCCUGAACAAAAUCUCCAUAGCUUGUGCAUCCAUAGCCACAAUCACUCUUCUCCUCCUUUAUCUCCAAACCCCAGAAACUUGCAUUCCACCAAACGCCCCAAUCACAAAACCCCACGUCAAAUUCCCCUCCUCCACCUGCGAUCCUUCUCUGAAUCACCCCUACCUCUCUCUCGCCAAGAAAAACCAGCGCCUUUGGUCCUCCAAGUCCUGGCUCUCUCAGCUAUCCUCCUUCACCGCUUUCUUUUCACAGCUCCAACACCUCAAUCUCUUGCAUAACCACUCCAGAGUCCUCUGUGUCUCCGCCGGUGCUGGCCACGAAGUUAUGGCGCUGAAUAAUAUGGGUGUCAG